This 505-nucleotide ribosomal RNA is filed under the name Leptospira borgpetersenii serovar Hardjo-bovis. RNAcentral describes it as "partial 23S ribosomal RNA". It matches the Rfam family "Bacterial large subunit ribosomal RNA", at positions 853 to 1270 of the family's 2925-position model. Lineage: Bacteria; Pseudomonadati; Spirochaetota; Leptospiria; Leptospirales; Leptospiraceae. The record is from RNAcentral.
UACGCCCCGAAAGCGAUUGAGGGGGCGCCGCGUGAAGUCGUCUGCGGGGGUAGAGCAGUGUGGCGGCUAGAGAGCCAUCCCGGCUGACCAAGCGGGUGCAAACAGCGAAUACCGGAGAAUGUUAUCACGGGAGACACACGGCGGGUGCUAACGUCCGUGGUGAAGGGGGAAACAGCCCAGACCGCCAGCUAAGGUCCCGAAUUCAUGGUUGAGUGGGAAACGAUGUGGGAAGGCCCAGACAGCCAGGAUGUUGGCUUAGAAGCAGCCAUCAUUUAAAGAAAGCGUAAUAGCUCACUGGUCGAGUCGGCCUGCGCGGAAGAUGUAACGGGGCUAAACCAUGCACCGAAGCUGCGGAAGCGAACGUAUCACCCAAGACAACUUUACGGAGUUGACGAUUGACGGAGCGACGCGACGUCAACGCGUUACUUAAAGUCGAGUUGGCUUAGGGCUACGUUCGUUGGGUAGGUGAGCGUCCUGUAAGCCAGUGAAGGGGUGUCGUGAGGCA